Molecule: ribosomal RNA, 482 nt
Filed under: uncultured bacterium
Lineage: Bacteria
Description: partial 16S ribosomal RNA
Rfam family: Bacterial small subunit ribosomal RNA
Source: RNAcentral
AUUGAACGCUGGCGGCAUGCUUUACACAUGCAAGUCGAACGGCAACACGCCGCGAGCUUCUGCCGAGUGGCGACCAGUUGCGUAAUGCAUCGGAACGCGCCCAGACGUGGUGUUUAACUACUCGUAAGGGUAGGUAAUACACCCUACUACCUCAUACUGCAUACGGGUGACCGCAAGGCCUCGUGCGAUUUUACCCGCCGAAGUCAGAUUAGGUAGUUGUUGGGGUAAAGGCGCACCAAGGCAACGAUCUGUAGCUGGUCUGAGAGGAUGACCAGCCACACUGGAACUGAGACACGGCCCAGACUCCUACGGGAGGCAGCAGUGGGGAAUAUUGGACAAUGGGCGCAAGCCUGAUCCAGCAAUGCCGCGUGCAGGAAGAAGGCCUUCGGGUUGUAAAGUGCUUUUGUACGGAAAGAAACGGCUCUGGUUAAUACCCGGGGCUAAUGACGGUACCGAAAGAAUAAGCACCGGCUAACUACGUG